Molecule: transfer RNA, 73 nt
Filed under: Pseudoalteromonas citrea
Lineage: Bacteria; Pseudomonadati; Pseudomonadota; Gammaproteobacteria; Alteromonadales; Pseudoalteromonadaceae
Rfam family: tRNA
About the family: Transfer RNA (tRNA) molecules are approximately 80 nucleotides in length.
Source: Rfam by way of RNAcentral
GCGAGUGUAGCUCAGCUGGUAGAGCGCGACCUUGCCAAGGUCGAGGUCACGAGUUCGAGCCUCGUUACUCGCU